Molecule: ribosomal RNA, 497 nt
Filed under: uncultured bacterium
Lineage: Bacteria
Description: partial 16S ribosomal RNA
Rfam family: Bacterial small subunit ribosomal RNA
Source: RNAcentral
GAUGAACGCUGGCGGCGUGCCUAAUACAUGCAAGUCGAGCGAACAGACGAGGAGCUUGCUCCUCUGACGUUAGCGGCGGACGGGUGAGUAACACGUGGAUAACCUACCUAUAAGACUGGGAUAACUUCGGGAAACCGGAGCUAAUACCGGAGAAUAUAUUGAACCGCAUGGUUCAAUAGUGAAAGACGGUUUUGCUGUCACUUAUAGAUGGAUCCGCGCCGCAUUAGCUAGUUGGUAAGGUAACGGCUUACCAAGGCAACGAUGCGUAGCCGACCUGAGAGGGUGAUCGGCCACACUGGAACUGAGACACGGUCCAGACUCCUACGGGAGGCAGCAGUAGGGAAUCUUCCGCAAUGGGCGAAAGCCUGACGGAGCCACGCCGCGUGAGUGAUGAAGGUCUUCGGAUCGUAAAGCUCUGUUAUUAGGGAAGAACAAAUGUGUAAGUAACUAUGCCCGUCUUGACGGUACCUAAUCAGAAAGCCACGGCUAACUACGUG